Molecule: long non-coding RNA, 239 nt
Filed under: Mytilus galloprovincialis (Mediterranean mussel)
Lineage: Eukaryota; Metazoa; Mollusca; Bivalvia; Mytilida; Mytilidae
Source: RNAcentral
CGAUAAAGGCCAAGAGUUCAGAUCAAGAAAUGUACAACGCGUUUUUCAAUCCGAGGGAAUUAAUCAUUUCUAUGCCUUAAACGAGGUGAAAGCAGCUAUUUCAGAAAGAGCAAUAAAAACCAUUAAGACCAGGAUAUAUCGUUACUUUGCCUAUAAACAAUCUUACAAAUACAUAGAUAAAUUGCAAGAUUAUGCUGAAGGUUAUAAUAAGACUGUACAUAGAACCAUAGAUAUGCCAC